CACGUAGGGGGCGAGCGUUGUCCGGAUUUAUUGGGCGUAAAGAGCGUGUAGGCGGCCUUACAGGUCAGCUGUGAAAACUCGAGGCUCAACCUCGAGACGUCGGUUGAAACCGUAAGGCUAGAGUCCGGAAGAGGAGAGUGGAAUUCCCGGUGUAGCGGUGAAAUGCGCAGAUAUCGGGAAGAACACCCGUGGCGAAGGCGGCUCUCUGGGACGGUACUGACGCUGAGACGCGAAAGCGUGGGGAGCGAACAGG
This 253-nucleotide ribosomal RNA is filed under the name uncultured bacterium. Its description in RNAcentral is "partial 16S ribosomal RNA". It matches the Rfam family "Bacterial small subunit ribosomal RNA", at positions 524 to 776 of the family's 1533-position model. The record is from RNAcentral.